CCCUUAGAUGUCCGGGGCCGCACGCGCGCUACACUGAAGGAAUCAGCGUGGCUUUCUCCCUGACCCGAAAGGGUUGGGAAACCCGUUGAAUCUCCUUCGUGAUAGGGAUUGGGGCUUGAAAUUGUUCCCCAUGAACGAGGAAUUCCCAGUAAGCGCAAGUCAGCAGCUUGCGUUGAUUACGUCCCUGCCCUUUGUACACACCGCCCGUCGCUACUACCGAUUGAAUGGUUUAGUGAGAAUUUUGGACUGGAACUCCCUUGCUCAGCAAUGGGCGAGGGGGAGUCCGGGAAGCUAUUCUAACUGUAUCAUUUAGAGGAAGUAAAAGUCGUAACA
This 333-nucleotide ribosomal RNA is filed under the name uncultured eukaryote. Its description in RNAcentral is "partial 18S ribosomal RNA". It matches the Rfam family "Eukaryotic small subunit ribosomal RNA", at positions 1470 to 1796 of the family's 1831-position model. The record is from RNAcentral.